UACGUAGGGGGCGAGCGUUGUCCGGAAUUAUUGGGCGUAAAGAGCUCGUAGGUGGUUCGUUGCGUCUGCCGUGAAAGCCCAUGGCUUAACUGUGGGUCUGCGGUGGAUACGGGCGGACUUGAGGCAGGUAGGGGAGAAUGGAAUUCCCGGUGUAGCGGUGAAAUGCGCAGAUAUCGGGAGGAACACCGGUGGCGAAGGCGGUUCUCUGGGCCUGUUCUGACACUGAGGAGCGAAAGCGUGGGGAGCGAACAGGAUUAGAUACCCUGGUAGU
RNAcentral lists this ribosomal RNA (271 nucleotides) under uncultured bacterium. RNAcentral's name for it is "partial 16S ribosomal RNA". It matches the Rfam family "Bacterial small subunit ribosomal RNA", at positions 524 to 794 of the family's 1533-position model. The record is from RNAcentral.